CCCCAAUGUAUUGUGGUUUCUUCCCCAAAUCUUUUUCUCGUUUGAAUUUCCUUAUGCCUUUCAGUGACACCUUCUAGCUUAAUAUCUGGCCAGAAAGUGAGUAUAAGCAUUGGCAGAAGAGAGGAUGACAUGGUCUGUUUUUGCUCUGUCCUCCCCACUCCCAUCCUUGGCAGGGUAUUGGCAAUAGUAGUGUUGUUGUUUGGGAAGUGACCCUGUCCUCAUUGUAGACAAUUUCCUCCAAUUCUGUGGCCACAUGAGGUGGGAAUCAGAGAGGAUCAAGGAGGAGAGGCUGUUCUCUCUUGCCCAAAACACUGCCCCUGGAGCAGUGGGUCGCACAAGGCCUCCUUGUUCAUCAGGAAGGUGGCUGUGGCUUAGUUGCUCCAGCCUAUAGGACAGGGAACUGGGUUGGUGGAAGAUCUCCAGUGCUUCAGGUCCAACAAGUAGGAGCCACAUGAGGGAAGGAGCCUUUUAUGGUGUUUGCCCAGCCUGCUGGGCUCUUGGCUCCAGACCCUGUUUGGAAACAGCCCAAGGUAAAAGAAGGAGGUAAUACGACUUGGAGUGCCCAUUAAGGUCACAGAACAUCAGCACUUCCUAAACCUGACUCCUAGUCCAGAGACUUUAGGAAACAAGCUCAAAGGAAGAGGAGAGGUGGGCUUGAGUGCUGGGUGAUAUUUGUGGGGACCGAGGGCAUGGGUAACAAGGAGGUCCUCCCCAGCAGCCUGCAGGCAGGAGUGAGAACAGGUGGUGUGACUUUGUUUCACCUAAGAGGGGGGAAGAGGCAAGGCAUGAAUCAUGCCCUUUUUGAUUUUUGUUUGAUCCUUCUUACCCUCUCAAUUUUCACGUUAUCCCUGCCUGUUGUCAGGUUGGGAGGUGAUUGUAGACUUUGCUACCACAAAGUUUGUAAAGCAUGCAGGGGGCCAGGCACUGUGUUCAACAGUGGAGAUUGUCCUCGAGUUGAAGGCUUGGGCUUGGUCUGAGCUUGAUCUGAUACCAAUCAAUAAUGUGGCUUCUUUCUGGAAAAUCUAACAAUGUACUCUGUCCUUAGGAGGCUCAAGAGUAACAGGGGAGAUGACAUACUUUUCAUAAAAUCUUGAGAUAUAAGUGGAACCAAAUUUCAGAAGUGACAGGAGUUCACCAUGGAGUCAGAGUAGCUCAAGGGUCUCUGGGUCAGUGCAACUUGGGCUGGGACUUGCUGGUGGGGUAGGUUUGGGUUGGUGGAGGGCAGAUGAGAGGGCCAUGCAGAGAAGGAGCAUGGAGCUAGUUGGGGGGAUCUUUGAUGGCAGGGGCUGGCUUUUGUUCUUUUUGUGUUCCUGAACUUACAUAGGGCCUGGCACUUGGGGAGUACUCUAAAUGUUUGUUGAAUGGAAUGAUGUUUUUGUAACACUUUAACUAGGCCUGAUGUGUUAGAAAGCAUGAGGAAGUGCAUUCCUUUAACAGAAAGAAGAUUUUACUGGUAAAUGAUCACGCAUACACAUGGAACCUGAUGGAGGUGCUUUACUUGUCCCAUUUGAGUUGCCAUCAGUCCCCUCCGGGGCUGCUCAGGACCAGGGAGCUCCUCCUCAGACUUUCUCCAGGUGCUGCAGUCUGUUUACUCCUCUGCUCUCCCCAGGUCCCUGCUCCCAGUCUGUUUCCUUUGUCUGGUUUUCCCCUCCAUGGGCUUGGGGUGGGGUGUCGGGUUCUGUGUAUCAUGGGUGGGGACUUUGGGUCUCUCAGGUCCAUUGAUAUAAUACAGCUCCAAGACAAACAGACUUUUCUCUUGUUAAUAUUGACAAAUACUUAGAGCCCAUUUCCAGAACAUUAUUUGUGCCAGCACAGUCUCUCUGAAUUACAAGGACUCUCCAUCCAGGAAGGAGGGUGGCCAUGAGGAAGACCUUGGGAAGAUGGAACGUGCCGUUGGAGCUUGGCCCAGAUGUUGCUCUUAAAGGAUAGAACAAUCCUGGACAAAGACCAGGCCAAGGCGUAUAUUCCAGAGAGGUGUUUUUUUUUAAAAAAAGAAAAAAAGACGGAAAAAAGGAAUAUCCUCCUCCUUUAUGCCAUUAUCAUCAUCCUUCAAUUCCCUGCUGAAAUGUUACAGUCUUCCUAUGGAACGCUGUGGAAGAAAUAGUCUCUCACUACGUCAAACAUCUCAACUUUUAGACCCCCUCAUGACUUGAACUGAAACAUUGGCUCCCCUGGGUCUUGAGCCUGCUGUCCUUCAGACGGAAACUACACCAUUGGCUCUCCUUGGUCUCUAGCUUUCUGACUCACCCUGCAGAUUGGGAAUUGUCAGCCUCUAUAAUCACAUGAGCCAAUUCCUUCUCCUCUAAAAACAACAUCAAAUAAGCACUCCCGCUGAGGUAGCAAUGGAGAUUCUACUGCUGAUACAAGAAGAGAGAAAGAGGGCAACCAUUUGCAUGUCUCCAUUGAAUCUUUGUAAAGAAUCUGAGGCCCAGAGACAUUACAAAUAGCUUGCCUGAAGUCUCACAGUGGGGAUUCAGGAGCAGGAACUCCAGCACAGGUGGUCUGGCUCUGGAACACAUGCUCUUGGGUAACAUGGCCUCUCAUAAGUCAUCCGGAGAGUGUGUGGAAGCUCUGCUGCUGCCCAUCUGUGUGACUUUAUACCACUGGGCUGCCCUUGUGCCUGGGACACUCUUCCUUAAAGACUCUGGUCAAGGGAGGACGCUCCUGUGACAUCUUCUGACUCCUUCUGCAUACCCCCUGGGCAAUCACUUUAUGUUUUUUUUUUUUUUUAACUGUGUAGUGUUUAUUUGUUGGAAUAUCUGACUCCUUGUCUUAGAAGCUUCUGGAGAGCAAGGACUUUUUUUCCUGGAAAAUUUCAAACAUGUGCAAAAGUUAAGCUAAUCAUAUAAUGAAUCUACGUGUACUCAUCUCAUAGCUUCAGCAAUUACUUCAUGGCCAAUCUUGUUUCAGCUAUACCCUCAUCUCCAAACCUGGAGUAUCUUGAAGCAAAUCCCAGACAUCAAAUCAUUUUGUCGAUAAAUAUUUCAGUUGUAUUACUAAAAUGUCGGGACUCUUUAAAGAACAUAGCCACAACACCAUUAUCACACUAAAAUUAAUACUUCCUCACUACCAUGAAAUAUUCAGUGUUCAAAUUUCUGCAAUUAUCUCAUACUUUUUCUCCUUCCCUUCCCAUUUUUCUUUAUUCUUUUAUUUCUUUCUUUGUUGUCUCCCACCCCCCUUUUUUUUGCAGUAGAGUUUUUCAAAUAAAGAUCCAAAUAAGGGCUUUACUUUUUAAUCUGCAUUUUCUCCUCAGCACCUGGCUUAGUGCUUGACAUAUAGUGAAUUCUUACUAAUGUGUGUUGAAUGAAUGAAUCUUCAGGAAUCUAUAAAAUCUCCUGGUUGGAUUGUGUGGCCUGUCAUUUGUGGUUGGUUUCUUGGGAUGGCUUUGGGUUUCUGACAGCUUUAGUUAGGGAUUAACAGGGAUGCUGGCUACCAUCAGUGCCUGUGAACAUUGCUAAAGGUUGGUGGGCAAUGAGUGUAUCUGUGACUCAGACACUCACAGGCUAGAAGGACGUAGGCCCUUACUUUCUUGUCUCUCUUUUUUGUCGUUAGUCUCUUGUCAUCUCACUUUGAGUUUGGACUGACCAUGUCUGGCUUUUUUGCUGUUUCUUCAGAACAGGGACCCUGAAGGAGCUCCUUGAGAGCAUGAACAGCUUCAUAUGGCGCUGUGGUAGGCAGAGUUCUGAGAUGCUACCCCAAGAUUUACCUCUAAUCCCAGACUGUGAAUAUUAUGGGAUAUCAUGCCUGCGAUUAUGUUACGUUGUGUGGUAAAAGGGAUUUUGCAGAUGUAACUAGGGUUACUAAGCAGUUGACUUUGAGUUUAACAAAAAGAGAGAUUAUCUGAGUGGGAUUAAUCUAAUCACAUAGGCCAUUUAAAAGCAGGCAGUUUUUUCUAGUUCAUCUCAGAAAGGAAAUCAGAGAGACUAGAAGUAUGAGAGGGAUUCAAUUUAGGGGAUGCUCUCCAUUGCUGAGAUGGAGGGGGCCUUGUGGCUAGGACCUGAGAACGUCCUCUAGUAGCUGAGAGCGGUACCUAGCAGAGCAAUGGGGACCUCAGUCUAAUAACUUCAAGGAACUGAAUUCUCUGAGCUAAGAGAUGGGUGUCGUUUUAAUCCAAUAAAUUUGUGCUAAUUUGUUUUACAAAAAUAGAAAAUACAGGUGCUUUGUACCUGAUGGAUUGAAUUAGCUGCUCCUUUGUUUAUUUUAUUUUUGAAAAUUCAGAGAAAAUUAAAAUACAUUGAACUGCCUGCAGAUCUUAAGUCCACAAUUUGGCUUUUGGUAAAUGUGUCCACCCACGUAAUCACCACCUGCAUUGAGAUAGAGAACAUUUCCAUCAGCCCAAAAAGCUGCCUUGUGCACGUUUGCUGUUACUUCCACCUGCUGUGGUGAAUUCUAACACCAUUAAUUACUAUUGCCUAUUCUUGAGCUUCAUGUAAAUGGCAUCGUAUUGUACGUGCUCCUUUGUGUCUGGCUUCUUUUGCACAGCAUACUGUUUUAGAGAGUAAUCCAUCUUGUUUUAGCAGUAAUUUGUGCCCUUUUUAUUGCUAAUUAGUAUUGCACUGUAUAGAUAUGCCACCAUGUGUUUAUCCAUUCAUAUCUUGGGGGAUAUUUGGGUUGUUUCCCAAAUAAACAAUAUAAUAAAAA
Non-coding RNA from Equus caballus (horse), 4641 nucleotides. The record is from RefSeq and is a predicted model, not a curated record. NCBI's taxonomy places the organism in Eukaryota, Metazoa, Chordata, Mammalia, Perissodactyla, Equidae.